GUCCUCGCCGGGGACAUCCGAUAAAAUUGGAACGAUACAGAGAAGAUUAGCAUGGACCCUGUGCAAGGAUGACAUGCAUAAAUCAAGAAAUGGUCUAAUUUUUU
Lactuca sativa (garden lettuce) is the source of this 104-nucleotide small nuclear RNA. The record is from RefSeq and is a predicted model, not a curated record. Lineage: Eukaryota; Viridiplantae; Streptophyta; Magnoliopsida; Asterales; Asteraceae.